AGAACCAAUAGCUGAGGAUCUUGUUAAAAUGGAGACUCUGACUUGAUAGGUCUGGGGUGGGACUUAAGAUUCUGCAAGUCUAAUAAGCUCCCAGGUCAUGUUGUU
RNAcentral lists this microRNA precursor (105 nucleotides) under Marmota monax (woodchuck). The record is from RNAcentral. Lineage: Eukaryota; Metazoa; Chordata; Mammalia; Rodentia; Sciuridae.